UUUGUGAACUAGUGACGACCAACGCGAAGCGAGAUGAUUUAUACCAUUGAGAUCGUAUUUAAUUAAUAGAGGGUGCUAUGUCAUAUAAAACCUAAAAGUUCCAGAAUAGCGUGAAAAUGGCAACCAUAGUACGGAACAAUAUUCACGUAAUAAGGAAUUCAGCAUAAGGAAAGCCAAACAUCAGAUUUUUUGGUGUACGGAAAUAACAAAACAUGCCGAAAAAUUGCUGUGAUGUACAAUGAACAUGUACAAUGAAUGAACAUGUACAAUGAACGAGUCCCGACCUACGGUUCGCAAUGCUCCCAAGUAGGGAAAUGGAGCCUGCGAGAAGAGCCCCGUUGCUUCAGUCUAUUCGGCGUGGGAGAUGUGGGGAACCGGUGUCCAAGUACGCUACACGUAGCUAUUUUUGUGGAAAACAUUUAAUCACAACUAAGACAUUUACGUUGUUUGGUAUAGUUCGUUUGUAACACCAUUCACUACUUGUAGCCCAAUCGUCUAUUUUGUGUUGUUGAUCUUGGUUAGUUUACGUUCCGGUUGGGAUGGUAGCUAGUUAGCAUUCACUCACGUGGUUGCUAGCGCCAUGAAAAAGGGCAUGAGGGCAGCCCUAUUGUUUUUCUAGGUAGUAAGGACACUAGGGAGCAGGCAAUGUUGACAAGUAAUCUUUAUACAUUGUUUACUUCGGUUAAAAUGUAAUUUACUAAAACAAGCAGACAAAAAUAAGGUAUUUGCUGUGAACCAAUGGGGUAACGGUCCCGUGUGGCUCAGUUGGUAGAGCAUGGCGCUUGCAACGCCAGGGUUGUGGGUUCAAUUCCCACGGGGGGACCAGGAUGAAUAUGUAUGAACUUUCCAAUUUGUAAGUCGCUCUGGAUAAGAGUGUCUGCUAAAUGACUUAAAUGUAAAUGUAACCUAGAAAACCACAGAUUGCGGCCUUGGCCGCGACGUUCUAUUUAUGGAACGCCAUUUGGGUGGGUGACUCACCUUGCGUGUCAAAAGCUACAGGUCAAAUAACAUUAUGGCCAAUAUUUGCAAUCACAAUUAAGUCGCGCGUGAAGCCAGCUAUGGGUGCGUUCGUAAAUUCGCUCUGGCUAUCUACUCCGAUUUCAGAGCACUUUAGCCUGAGCGUGCCAGAGCGCAGAAUAACUGAUUAAUUUUCAAACGCUCAACACCCGUUGAAUAUGGCCGGUGUCAGCAAAAAAAAAAUCGUACAUUGUUGCCAGCAAUACAGUUCGUCACCAACGCUCUGGAUAACAUAAACAGCCUAACUAGCAGUUAGGACGAGUAAAAUGGUCAGCGUGAGGUGUUCUCUCAUUUGUGUCUGGAAGAAGCUGGCCUACGUUAACCAAUUAAAUUGGGUACUUGACUGCGGUUGUGAGGUCAGAAAGCUCGGUUUAACCCUACUAUGGAAGGCCAAGAGUUUCAAAUCGUCUUGAUUUGGACGCUUGUUAGGGGCAUUUUUACACCCGUUCAGUGUGCAUUUACAGGUGAUUAUAGUGCCCGAAAGUACCACAUUGUAGCCCCUCUCACUUCCAUUUUUGUGAGUUUGACUUCCGGCCUGUUGCGAUAAAUCGCUUACUCAGGGAGAUUAUUCUAAAUAGGGCUCAAAUUGUUAUUACAUUUACAGAAUGUAAACGCUACAGCAAGGCGUUGGUGAGGAAGAAAUUAAAACGACUUUUUCCUCAUAACUACAAAGCUGACGCUGGCUAGCUAGUUUAUUUUCAUUGAAAUAGCAUGGCGAGUUAGCUAGCUAGCAAUAGUAUUAUGUCAAACCUGUAACUAAUGGUUGUUACGUUGUGGAACAGAGCAAUAGUUCUUUGUACUUGUCAUUUGGUUGAGACAAACAUUAGUUUAGAACAUAAUUGUUUACUUUGUGUAUAUUUGUUGUUGGCUUUGCUAGUUAGCAAGCUGAGAUGUAUUUGCUCAAAUUGGCUAAUUUAGCUAUUAGCUAAUGUUUUAGGAGAACAGGUUAGCUCCCUGCAUAAUCUAGACAAGAGAAUGGGGAAUAAGAUCUGGCUGUUGCAGUGCCCAGACUAGGCGAGAGCCAACUGCCACAGAGAUAAAGGAAUCUACAAAUUCUAUGUUGAACGAGUAACACAGAUGGAGGGGGAGGAAAACAGACCGCUCCUUACUACAACACCUUCAAGUCAUACAAUGUUUGUUACAUCUGAAAUAAAUACAGAAUUAUUUUAGUUUAUUCUGUUUGUUUUUUAUGCUGGAUGUAAUUUAGGUUAUAGUAUAAUGUAUUGUUUUGAAACAUUUUAUUAAAUAUAUAUAUUCAGUCAACUCAAUAAUUUUAUGUUCGUGAAAAUAAGGUAUGUUUUCUACUGUUACUUUUUACAUGCUGAAACAGUCUCAUUAGUUUUGAGCUAGAUUAUGAUUGGGGAAAUGUCUACUACCCUUUUUUAAAUGUUGAUGAAUGAAAUUAUCACCGUUACUAAUAGUUUGUUGCUACUGUCUGGUGAGGAAGUGGGCAAUAUGGAAUACAUUGGAGGAGGAUGGGAGAAUUAAUGAGAAAUCAGAACUUGGACAAUGUCAGGGAAUAAGUAGGUAAAUGUACAGCCUAUCAAUGACAAACGGUGCAGAGGUAGCCUUAAGAUAACAGACAUGUGCAUGUUAUGUACUGAACAGACUUUUUCAAAACAUUGGAUUACCGACUUGAGCAGUGACGUCUCAGUUUGCACCGCAUUUUCACAUGGACGAAUAUAUACACUGAACAAAAAUAUAAAUGCAACAUGUAAAGUGUUGGGUUCAUGAGCUGAAAUAAAAGAUCCCAAACAUUU
This is a long non-coding RNA of Salvelinus fontinalis (brook trout), 2777 nucleotides long. RefSeq lists it as uncharacterized. Lineage: Eukaryota; Metazoa; Chordata; Actinopteri; Salmoniformes; Salmonidae. The transcript is spliced from 2 exons. The record is from RefSeq and is a predicted model, not a curated record.